This 253-nucleotide ribosomal RNA is filed under the name uncultured bacterium. Its description in RNAcentral is "partial 16S ribosomal RNA". It matches the Rfam family "Bacterial small subunit ribosomal RNA", at positions 524 to 776 of the family's 1533-position model. The record is from RNAcentral.
UACGGGGGGGGCAAGCGUUGUUCGGAAUUACUGGGCGUAAAGAGCUCGUAGGCGGUUUGUCGCGUCGACUGUGAAAACUGGGGGCUUAACUCUCAGCUUGCAGUUGAUACGGGCAGACUUGAGUUCGGUAGGGGAGACUGGAAUUCCUGGUGUAGCGGUGAAAUGCGCAGAUAUCAGGAGGAACACCGGUGGCGAAGGCGGGUCUCUGGGCCGAUACUGACGCUGAGGAGCGAAAGCGUGGGGAGCGAACAGG